AGUUUAUUCUCUUUUCACACGUUCUCUCAUUUAUUCUAUGCCAUGUCGUCACAUAUCCUACAUGGCAAUAUUUACCAACAUGCUAUGUAGGAUAUGUGAUGAUGUGGCAUAGAAUGCGAGGAGAGAGAGCAAACUUGUAUGUGCAACA
Brachypodium distachyon (stiff brome) is the source of this 148-nucleotide non-coding RNA. Lineage: Eukaryota; Viridiplantae; Streptophyta; Magnoliopsida; Poales; Poaceae. The record is from RefSeq and is marked provisional.